UCUCCGUAGGUGAACCUGCGGAAGGAUCAUUACUGAGUGAGGGCCCUCUGGGUCCAACCUCCCACCCGUGUUUAUUGUACCUUGUUGCUUCGGUGAGCCCACCUCACGGCCGCCGGGGGGCAUCUGCCCCCGGGCCCGCGCUCGCCGAGGACACCCUUGAACUCUGUCUGAAGUUUGCAGUCUGAGCGAAAACUAAAUAAGUUAAAACUUUCAACAACGGAUCUCUUGGUUCCG
Molecule: unclassified non-coding RNA, 234 nt
Filed under: plant metagenome
Description: partial contains small subunit ribosomal RNA, internal transcribed spacer 1, and 5.8S ribosomal RNA
Source: RNAcentral